GGGUGAAGGUGGGGGAUGCUGUAAAGGUGACUAAGACUUGGGCUCAAAAUGUGAGAAGCUCAAAAUCUAGUGAAUAAUUUGAAAGUCUGCAUUUGUGAAGCUCCUAGAGGUCUGGAACUCUCUCUCCAAUUUGCUUUGCCUGGUGAUGACCACUGCACAACGCAAAAGAGAGAAAUUCUCAGUAGACGGGUCAGGUGUGCUUCUGACCUGGGUCCUCUCAAGAGCCUCACGACUGAGAAGCAUGAACAACAGACCUCAGUGGCUCUGGUCCACGGAAGCAAUGAAGGAAAAGACUUUGGGUACCGAUUAUCCAUUAGCCCUUUAGAAGUCCCCUGGAAAAGACACUG
RNAcentral lists this long non-coding RNA (347 nucleotides) under Equus caballus (horse). Its description in RNAcentral is "lncRNA (ENSECAG00000048860.1)". The record is from RNAcentral. Lineage: Eukaryota; Metazoa; Chordata; Mammalia; Perissodactyla; Equidae.